This 153-nucleotide ribosomal RNA is filed under the name Halomyces littoreus. Its description in RNAcentral is "5.8S ribosomal RNA". It matches the Rfam family "5.8S ribosomal RNA". Rfam says of the family: 5.8S ribosomal RNA (5.8S rRNA) is a component of the large subunit of the eukaryotic ribosome. It is transcribed by RNA polymerase I as part of the 45S precursor that also contains 18S and 28S rRNA. The record is from RNAcentral. Lineage: Eukaryota; Fungi; Chytridiomycota; Chytridiomycetes; Rhizophydiales; Halomycetaceae.
AACUUUUGACAACGGAUCUCUUGGCUCUCGCAACGAUGAAGAACGCAGCGAAAUGCGAUACGUAAUGUGAAUUGCAGAAUUCCGUGAAUCAUCAAAUCUUUGAACGCAUAUUGCACUCUAUUUCGGUAGAGUAUGCCUGUUUGAGAAUCUAAA